AUCGCUAGUAAUCGCGGAUCAGCAUGCCGCGGUGAAUACGUUCCCGGGCCUUGUACACACCGCCCGUCACACCACGAGAGUUUGUAACACCCGAAGUCGGUGAGGUAACCUUCAUGGAGCCAGCCGCCUAAGGUGGGACAGAUGAUUGGGGUGAAGUCGUAACAAGGUAGCCGUAUCGGAAUGUGCGGCUGGAUCACCUCCUUUCUAAGGA
RNAcentral lists this ribosomal RNA (211 nucleotides) under Bacillus sp. mrc49. RNAcentral's name for it is "partial 16S ribosomal RNA". It matches the Rfam family "Bacterial small subunit ribosomal RNA", at positions 1331 to 1533 of the family's 1533-position model. The record is from RNAcentral. Lineage: Bacteria; Bacillati; Bacillota; Bacilli; Caryophanales; Bacillaceae.